RNAcentral lists this ribosomal RNA (253 nucleotides) under uncultured bacterium. RNAcentral's name for it is "partial 16S ribosomal RNA". It matches the Rfam family "Bacterial small subunit ribosomal RNA", at positions 524 to 776 of the family's 1533-position model. The record is from RNAcentral.
UACGUAGGGUGCGAGCGUUAAUCGGAAUUACUGGGCGUAAAGCGUGCGCAGGCGGUUUUGUAAGCCAGAUGUGAAAUCCCCGGGCUCAACCUGGGAACUGCAUUUGUGACUGCAUCGCUGGAGUGCGGCAGAGGGGGAUGGAAUUCCGCGUGUAGCAGUGAAAUGCGUAGAUAUGCGGAAGAACACCGGUGGCGAAAGCGGCUUCCUGGGCCGACACUGACGCUCAUGUACGAAAGCGUGGGGAGCAAACAGG